Molecule: small nuclear RNA, 141 nt
Filed under: Cebus imitator (Panamanian white-faced capuchin)
Lineage: Eukaryota; Metazoa; Chordata; Mammalia; Primates; Cebidae
Description: U4 spliceosomal RNA (ENSCCAG00000006715.1)
Rfam family: U4 spliceosomal RNA
About the family: U4 small nuclear RNA (U4 snRNA) is a component of the major U2-dependent spliceosome.
Source: Rfam by way of RNAcentral
AGCUUUGCACAGUGCCAGUAUUGUAGUCAAUGAGGUUUAUCCGAGGCGCGAUUAUUGCUAAUUGAAAACUUUUCCCAAUACCCCGCUUUGACGACUUAAAAUACAGUCGGCACUGGCAAUUUUUGACUGUCUCUAUGGAGA